CUUGGCCAACCCAGUUCAUCUUCACCUCCAUCUAAAAGCUGUGAAAUCAUAAUUGAAGCAGUCUCAUCAUCGGCCUUCCAAGGUUCAAUCAACUCCAAAAUAGCCAAAGAAUCCACUCUACUUUCCACACAAAGCCAGCGAAUCUCAUUAGUCACUUCCACGGUCUUGGAAGUAGUCUCAAACUUGAGGAUCUGAUUUUUCAGGAAAUCAGCCCUCGUUUCAACUUCAGGGUUCAUACCAACGUCUUCCUGACUACCAACCACAUCUUCUCGCAUUACGUCAUCCCCAUACUCUUGUUUCUCCUUUUCAGCAUCGUUUUCCGAAUCUUCAUCAUCUUCACAAUUACCAAAUGGCUUUCUCAAAUUGACCUCAUCAGGUAAUAUCGGAAGCCAAGGAAGUAGUACAGAAUUACGAUUCUUUGCAGCAUCUUUAAGCCAAUCUGGCAUUGCCCUAAACUCAUCCUCGGCCUUCCAAGGUUCAAUCAACUCCAAAAUAGCCAAAGAAUCCACUCUACUUUCCACACAAAGCCAGCGAAUCUCAUUAGUCACUUCCACGGUCUUGGAAGUAGUCUCAAACUUGAGGAUCUGAUUUUUCAGGAAAUCAGCCCUCGUUUCAACUUCAGGGUUCAUACCAACGUCUUCCUGACUACCAACCACAUCUUCUCGCAUUACGUCAUCCCCAUACUCUUGUUUCUCCUUUUCAGCAUCGUUUUCCGAAU
RNAcentral lists this long non-coding RNA (718 nucleotides) under Coffea arabica (coffee). Its description in RNAcentral is "long non-coding RNA (CARA_LNC004028)". Lineage: Eukaryota; Viridiplantae; Streptophyta; Magnoliopsida; Gentianales; Rubiaceae. The record is from RNAcentral.